UACGAAGGGGGCUAGCGUUGCUCGGAAUCACUGGGCGUAAAGCGCACGUAGGCGGCUUUCUAAGUCAGGGGUGAAAUCCUGGAGCUCAACUCCAGAACUGCCUUUGAUACUGGAGAGCUUGAGUCCGGAAGAGGUGAGUGGAACUCCGAGUGUAGAGGUGAAAUUCGUAGAUAUUCGGAAGAACACCAGUGGCGAAGGCGGCUCACUGGUCCGGUACUGACGCUGAGGUGCGAAAGCGUGGGGGGCAAACAGG
RNAcentral lists this ribosomal RNA (253 nucleotides) under uncultured bacterium. RNAcentral describes it as "partial 16S ribosomal RNA". It matches the Rfam family "Bacterial small subunit ribosomal RNA", at positions 524 to 776 of the family's 1533-position model. The record is from RNAcentral.